AGCUGAGGAAAAGAAACUAACAAGGAUUCCCCUAGUAACUGCGAGUGAAGCGGGAAAAGCUCAAAUUUAAAAUCUGGUAGUCUUUGGCUGCCCGAGUUGUAAUCUAGAGAAGCGUUAUCCGCGCUGGACCGUGUAUAAGUCUCCUGGAAUGGAGCGUCAUAGAGGGUGAGAAUCCCGUCUUUAACACGGACUCCCAGGGCUUUGUGAUGCGCUCUCAAAGAGUCGAGUUGUUUGGGAAUGCAGCUCUAAAUGGGUGGUAAAUUCCAUCUAAAGCUAAAUAUUGGCGAGAGACCGAUAGCGAACAAGUACCGUGAGGGAAAGAUGAAAAGAACUUUGGAAAGAGAGUUAAACAGUACGUGAAAUUGUUGAAAGGGAAACGCUUGAAGUCAGUCGCGUUGAUCAGGGAUCAACCUUGCUUUUGCUUGGUGUACUUCCUGGUUAACGGGUCAGCAUCAAUUUUGACCAGUGGAAAAAGGUCAGGGGAAUGUGGCAUCUUCGGAUGUGUUAUAGCCUCUGGUCAUAUACAUUGGUUGGGAUUGAGGAACUCAGCACGCCGCAAGGCCGGGUUUUACCACGUUCGUGCUUAGGAUGCUGGCAUAAUGGCUUUAAUCGACCCGUCUUGAAACACGGACCA
Molecule: ribosomal RNA, 634 nt
Filed under: Entoloma kipukae
Lineage: Eukaryota; Fungi; Basidiomycota; Agaricomycetes; Agaricales; Entolomataceae
Description: partial large subunit ribosomal RNA
Rfam family: Eukaryotic large subunit ribosomal RNA
Source: RNAcentral